Long non-coding RNA from Pseudopipra pipra, 2226 nucleotides. RefSeq lists it as uncharacterized. The transcript is spliced from 2 exons. NCBI's taxonomy places the organism in Eukaryota, Metazoa, Chordata, Aves, Passeriformes, Pipridae. The record is from RefSeq and is a predicted model, not a curated record.
AUAGCAAUCAAGACCAGCUGCUGGAGUCUGAAUUGUGCAGUAUUUACACAGACAAAACUUGGGCUAGAUCCUGGACUUGACUGAUUUGUGUUUAAUGCUAUAAAAAACAUGUGGGGAUCUAGAGCCACAUGAAACAUUCAAGAUGCAGAUGCAUAUUGGAUUUUCUGAUUUUGGUUUUACAUUUUUGUUUGUUUGAGUUUUGUUGCUUUUUGCUACUGGUGAGCAUGACCUGAACAUUUAAAUUUUGAGGUGUUUUUUCUUUAGCAUGCCACAAUGCCUUUCAUUGUUUGUUCUUUUCUGUCUGUGAUCUAGUGGUCUGUUUGACAUCUUUUCUUGCUUGAUAGUUUUACCUCAGUAACUGAAAAGAAAUUUUUUAGAUUUUCCCUCUCCACAAGGUGUUGAGCCCCUCUGGUCAAUACCUCAGUUCUACAUUUUUGUGAAAGUCAAAGUCCCAGUGCUGGGCAGUUGUUUUGUUUAGUUUGGUGUUGUUCUGGAGUGUUGCUUCUCUAGUCACUUGAAGGGCAUAUCAUUAACUAUGGUUUAUCCAUGGAAGGUUUGGAAAACCUUCCAGUUAUUUGCUCAGAUUUAUUCAACUUGACAAAGAAGGAUAUGCUCUCUGUAGUGGCUAGGGAAAGCAAUAUCAAUUCACUGUCUGAUUAAAAUUGAAGCUCUUCCCUUGCCUCAUCUGUUGACUAAACAUUACCUCUGUUGAUCGAAGUAUGGCUAGCUUGAAAACUGACAUUUGUAAUUUUACUGACAUCUCAGUGUCUGUAAAAUUCUCUAGUUUUAUUCUGGACUGUAGCACUGAAAUAGAAGUUUAAAACAAACUUCUAUGCAUAUGGAUGUUUUCCAGAUUACAAAAAAAAAAAAACCUAGUGCUUUUAAUAAGAUACUGAUUUCUUUGCCAAGAUUUAUUAGACAUUUAAACAAGUCUGACAGGGACAUAAUUAUAAGGAAUAUAUCCCUCUUUUGCAGAGUAGCUUAAAAGAGUACUGGUCAUCACGUUGCAAUUCUGUCUGUUUACUGUGUUCUUUGAAAAGUGAUUUAUACUGAAUGUAUCUGAAAGCUAGGGGUAUGACGGCGUUUGAAGUUCAGUCAGUUUGUAGUCAUCUAUCCUUCAAUCACAUGCUUCCAAUGAUACCUUAUUGUCUCAAUUUGAAGAUAUCAUGCAGGCCGUUAUGCCAAGAACUUGAGCAAAGAAGUCAUAAUGCUUCAAGCUAGAAGAAGGAAGAGGUCCCUGUAUUAUUUUGUUUCUUAUAAAGAACCCUUGUGAACCUAUUUGUUGACUCUCUUUGAGAAGCUCUAUUUUGGUUUUGCUAGAUCUGAAACCUUACUAGUAGUAAAAAUAUCAUGAGGAAUAAGUUGUGUUAUUUCUCUACUUUUGCUGUAGAAUCCAAUUUUUGUAAGUUACAAUAGAGAAAGGCUUGCUGAAGCAUUUAGAUUUUCUUUUUUGUAAUAGAUAAAAGUAAUUGUUGAUGUAAAAUGAAAGUCUCCUAGUUUUCCUUAAAUUUCUUCUAACAAAAUUGUAUUUUUGUCUGUGCAUUUGUCAGGUUGUUUUGUCAGAAAGAAAAGCCCAACACUGUCAUAUUUUUCUCAAACAUAACGUAUAAUGAGUUGGAUAUCCACUCUGUGUGUCAAAACCACAUUAGCUAUUGUUAAAAAUGUAUUUAUAGUGCAUUAAGUUAAAAAGAUUAUGUAAUAUCUAAAUGCAUUUCAAUUCUAAAGCAUUUCCUUUGUUUAAAUACAGAAAACAGCUGCAACAACCCAACUAGGGCAAUACUGUACCUCCCUGGUGUAUUUCUCUGUAAGAUGUAGUUAAUAUAGAUUUAUUUGAGAGGAAAAGUCUGUGAACAGUCAUGUAGAUUUUUUCUAAGUAUCAGCUGUGAAAUACAUCAUCUUUUGAAGCAGUGGUUUUAAAAUUUCAAUUUGUUACAUCCUUUUGGCCCUUUAACAUAGAUACUUUUGAAUACUAAGGAGUUCAGUCUGUGAGAAUAUCCUAUAUGUAUGAUUCCUUCUUUGUAAGAUCAGUCUCUGCCUUAUGCUUAGUACUGUUGUUAGCUUCUGGCCCAUAUCUGCCUGCAUUUAGCAAAAUCAGUAUGACUGUGAAUUGUUAAUGGAUUUGUGUGUAGAUCAGUUGUAUGUAAAUAAACGAUUCUUUGGUGGAAAAUGCUAUGAAGGUGGUAAAUGAUUUUGGAAAUCCUGAUUAAAACCUGUUAAUCAAAUAUC